RNAcentral lists this ribosomal RNA (425 nucleotides) under Nitzschia sp. (in: diatoms). RNAcentral describes it as "SSU rRNA". It matches the Rfam family "Eukaryotic small subunit ribosomal RNA", at positions 604 to 1047 of the family's 1831-position model. Lineage: Eukaryota; Bacillariophyta; Bacillariophyceae; Bacillariales; Bacillariaceae. The record is from RNAcentral.
UUAAAGUUGUUGCAGUUAAAAAGCUCGUAGUUGGAUUUGUGGCGGUCCCUGCGGUCCAGUCUUGGUACUGUCGGGGGCUGCCAUCCUUGGGUGGAUCCUGUGUGGCAUUAGGUUGUCGUGCAGGGGAUGCCCAUCGUUUACUGUGAAAAAAUUAGAGUGUUCAAAGCAGGCUUAUGCCGUUGAAUAUAUUAGCAUGGAAUAAUGAGAUAGGACUUUGGUACUAUUUUGUUGGUUUGCGCACCGAGGUAAUGAUUAAUAGGGACAGUUGUGGGUAUUCGUAUUCCAUUGUCAGAGGUGAAAUUCUUGGAUUUCUGGAAGACGAACGAAUGCGAAAGCAUUUACCAAGGAUGUUUUCAUUAAUCAAGAACGAAAGUUAGGGGAUCGAAGAUGAUUAGAUACCAUCGUAGUCGUCAUAGCUGUUUCCU